GUUCCCAAGCAAUAACCCUUAUAUUUUUGUUUUUUAGUUUUGUCACGAAGAUCUAUUUUUAUAUGAGAGUUGUUUAAUGGUGUUCUGGGCACAAAUGUCAUAAGAAGUCCAUGGAAUGAUAUUAAAAUUAAAUGUGAAGCCUAGAACAUUACUGUAGUACCAAUAGGGCUCCAGACGGGUACUAGCAUCAUAUUAUGAGCACCCCGUGUGGCGUAAUACCCAUAUAAGUGGUUAUCCCUCUCACAGCCUUUAGUCCAAGUACACUGCAAGUGCCUUGCCGUAGAUCACAGUAUGCAAUCUUUUAUAUAUUUUGUAUUUGUUUUAGGGAGUUAUUUGUUGUAUUCUGUGCACGGUAAUGUACUAUUGUCUUUUACUUUUUCUUUCUAGUUAUAUCGAUAAAUAAUUUGAUUACCAUUUCAAACACAGUAAUGUGCUACAUCUCUGCAUUCCGUCAUACUUAAAUCAAGCAUGUUCCAUACACUUGACUAAGUGUUAUAACCAGCACUCCCAGUCAGCUACAUGCCUUUCUACUCUGCCAUAGUUAUAACAGACAGCUGGAUAUGUUAGAUUUAAUCUGUUUAGUGCAUGUUAUUGAAAUUGCGCUGUUAUUUUAUUUUAAUGCCAUGCUAGUACUCAAGAGCAUGGUGCCCUUAAUUAAGCUAAUUCAGUUUAUGCAACCAGUGCCUGUGUACCAAACUAUGGCCUGUUAACGAUCCAGCAAUAGCACUGUGUCUCUCUGAUUCGAAUGCUUAAUAUAAAAAUGUG
This is a non-coding RNA of Pelobates cultripes (western spadefoot toad), 765 nucleotides long. The record is from the annotation of a GenBank genome assembly. Lineage: Eukaryota; Metazoa; Chordata; Amphibia; Anura; Pelobatidae.